ACCAUGUCUUUUAGGUUUGCUUGUCUCCAGCGUGGUUAAUGACUCCUGGGCAAAGCAUUUCCCCUCUGACAAGUAAAGUCAUAUACAUACUGAUUUUUUAUAUUUUCAAAAUGUUUCUAGAUAAGGUACGUUGUUAUUCCAAAGUUAUUCCAUCCCCCUCAUGUUCAUGGUGAUAUAACGUUUUACAUGUUGCUAGGAAGGAUCGUUAGCUUUCCUUUAGCCUACUGGCUUUAGAGGCCUCUCUCAAACACAAGGAUAGGAGUACGGAAGUUGGUAGAGAGAGAGAGCUUACCUCAAAAAGAUUUGCGAAGAGGAUUCCUGAGGAAUGACUGGUUGCAGAGAAGUUGGGGAGAUUUAGAAUGAAUUCCAGUUCUGUGAAUUGAUUUUUGAGUUCAUCAGACCCGGAGGAUCAUUAAGGGAUUUUUCUGAGGAGUUGCAAAUGUUUAACGAAUGUCUUCUCGUGGUUCCGUGAAAUCAUAAAUCUUUUGGUUUAUGAGAGUGGUAAUGGUCAUUGCAGUGGCAUCGAAUUUUGCUGCACUGGAACUUGGCAGUUUCCAUAUGAAAAUAUAUUGGGAUCUAAUGUAAAAGAUUUGACAUAAUUCUGUAAUUGGUGAAGAACAUCAAAAGUUUGAGUUGUAUAAUAAAUCUUCUGCAAUAAUAAAAUUACAAAA
Molecule: long non-coding RNA, 671 nt
Organism: Syzygium oleosum
Lineage: Eukaryota; Viridiplantae; Streptophyta; Magnoliopsida; Myrtales; Myrtaceae
Exons: 2
Source: RefSeq, a predicted model, not a curated record